AGAGUUUGAUCCUGGCUCAGGACGAACGCUGGCGGCGUGCUUAACACAUGCAAGUCGAACGAGGUCCACCGCGUAGCAAUACAAGGGAAGACCUAGUGGCGAACGGGUGCGUAACACGUGAGGAACUUGUCCCGGUCUCUGGGAUAACAGUUGGAAACGACUGCUAAUACCGGAUGACAUCGGAGCAUCGCAUGGUGCACUGAUGAAAGGGUUACUGGAUCGGGAGAGCCUCGCGGCCUAUCAGCUUGUUGGUGAGGUAACGGCUCACCAAGGCAUCGACGGGUAGCUGGUCUGAGAGGAUGAUCAGCCACACUGGGACUGAGACACGGCCCAGACUCCUACGGGAGGCAGCAGUGGGGAAUCUUGCGCAAUGGGCGAAAGCCUGACGCAGCAACGCCGCGUGCGGGAAGAAGGCCCUCGGGUUGUAAACCGCUUUCAGUAGGAACGAAAAUGACGGUACCUGCAGAAGAAGGUGCGGCCAACUACGUGCCAGCAGCCGCGGUGACACGUAGGCACCAAGCGUUGUCCGGAUUUAUUGGGCGUAAAGAGCUCGUAGGCGGUUCGGUAAGUCGGGUGUGAAAACUUUGGGCUCAACCCAAAGCCUGCAUCCGAUACUGCUGUGACUAGAGUUCGGUAGGGGAGCGGGGAAUUCCUAGUGUAGCGGUGAAAUGCGCAGAUAUUAGGAGGAACACCGGUGGCGAA
This 702-nucleotide ribosomal RNA is filed under the name uncultured bacterium. RNAcentral's name for it is "bacterial SSU rRNA". It matches the Rfam family "Bacterial small subunit ribosomal RNA", at positions 8 to 719 of the family's 1533-position model. The record is from RNAcentral.